CCAAGCUACAGGGGCAGGAGAGAGUGGGAAAAACAUCAGUUGAGUUUUUGACAAGAAACAAAGCUUUCUGAAAACUUGCACGUGCAGCCCAGGCCUCGAGGGACAAACUCGUGGCCCUGUUUUGAGCCAAUGGUGGCGCCAACCUAGGACACUGGGGCCCACGCAGUGCACAUCUGUCUAGUGUUCCUGCUGUCCUGAGGAGCAGAGGUGGAAGGUUCAGGAACAGAAGGGCAGACGUGGACUGUGAAGACGUUAGGCCUCUGUUUGAAUCCCACAUCUUCCUUCCAUGCCUGUGUGUCCUUCAUCAAGACGCGUGACCCCUGAGAGCCUUGUGUUCUUAAAUGUAAACCAGGAAUAAUUAUGCCUACCUGGAAGGUUGUGCUGAGGUUUCCAUCAACGACACCGAUGGAUGAGGUUGAACCAUAUGAAACUGCCAUUUCUGAAGGUCAUAAAGGGUUGAACACUGACAGUUUCAGACGCUUCAUGCUACCGUGUAAAGUACGUGGCACAUUUGAAUAGCGCCCAAAUUGGGUUAAACAUUUACACAGUGAGUCUCAAAACUUAGUAAGUGUAGGAGGUGGGGAGCGGGCAUGAGGAGUGCGUGCAGAAUGUCUGAUUCUGAAGAUCUGUGCGGGGCGUAGGACUCCGCAUUUGAACAAACUUGCAAUCCCUCACUCCAGGUGAUUUGGAUGCCGUGAUGCUUAGCGCUCAGCUGAACUAAGCUUUGAAAAAAAAAAACAAACAAACAGGAGAGGAGGGAGAGGACAGGCUAGAAAAUGGCAAUUCCCUCUCCCAAGCCCUUGUCGUCUUCUUCCUCUUUUUGUCCAGCCCAGUGAGGAGUGCGGUGUUACUCCCAUUUUUACGAACGAGGUGACUGAGGCCCGGAAAAGAUAAGUCCUUAUGCCUCAGCUCCUAAGUAAUGGAGCAAGGUCUUGGAUCCAGGGCUCCUAACUCUGGCUCACAUUUUUCUUACCAUGUAACUCAGAGACCGCCUGGUUUAACCUUGCUGCCUCCACUAACCAUUGGACAGAUGGAUAUCCCACCUCUGCCUGAACAUCCAGCGUGGCCCGUUCCGUGCUGGACAGCCAAAAUUUAGUGUUAACAAAAUAGUGACCGUUUUUGAGCCCCUGCUGUGCACCAAA
This is a non-coding RNA of Delphinapterus leucas (beluga whale), 1142 nucleotides long. Lineage: Eukaryota; Metazoa; Chordata; Mammalia; Artiodactyla; Monodontidae. The record is from RefSeq and is a predicted model, not a curated record.